AGCGAACGCUGGCGGCAGGCUUAACACAUGCAAGUCGAGCGGGCAUCUUCGGAUGUCAGCGGCAGACGGGUGAGUAACACGUGGAAACGUACCCUUCGGUUCGGAACAACUCUGGGAAACUGGAGCUAAUACCGGAUACGCCCUUAUGGGGAAAGGUUUACUGCCGAAGGAUCGGCCCGCGUCUGAUUAGCUAGUUGGUGGGGUAACGGCCUACCAAGGCGACGAUCAGUAGCUGGUCUGAGAGGAUGAUCAGCCACACUGGGACUGAGACACGGCCCAGACUCCUACGGGAGGCAGCAGUGGGGAAUAUUGGACAAUGGGCGAAAGCCUGAUGCAGCCAUGCCGCGUGAGUGAUGAAGGCCUUAGGGUUGUAAAGUUCUUUUGUCCGGGACGAUAAUGACGGUACCGGAAGAAUAAGCCCCGGCUAACUUCGUG
RNAcentral lists this ribosomal RNA (435 nucleotides) under uncultured bacterium. RNAcentral's name for it is "partial 16S ribosomal RNA". It matches the Rfam family "Bacterial small subunit ribosomal RNA", at positions 29 to 507 of the family's 1533-position model. The record is from RNAcentral.